GAUGAACGCUGGCGGCGUGCUUAACACAUGCAAGUCGAACGAAGCACUUUAACUUGAUUCUUCGGAUGAAGGUUUUUGUGACUGAGUGGCGGACGGGUGAGUAACGCGUGGGUAACCUGCCUCAUACAGGGGGAUAACAGUUAGAAAUGACUGCUAAUACCGCAUAAGACCACGGAGCCGCAUGGCUCAGUGGGAAAAACUCCGGUGGUAUGAGAUGGACCCGCGUCUGAUUAGGUAGUUGGUGGGGUAACGGCCUACCAAGCUAACGAUCAGUAGCCGACCUGAGAGGGUGACCGGCCACAUUGGGACUGAGACACGGCCCAAACUCCUACGGGAGGCAGCAGUGGGGAAUAUUGCACAAUGGGGGAAACCCUGAUGCAGCGACGCCGCGUGAGCGAAGAAGUAUUUCGGUAUGUAAAGCUCUAUCAGCAUGGAAGAAAAUGACGGUACCUGACUAAGAAGCACCGGCUAAAUACGUGCCAGCCGCCGCCGUAA
Molecule: ribosomal RNA, 495 nt
Filed under: uncultured bacterium
Lineage: Bacteria
Description: partial 16S ribosomal RNA
Rfam family: Bacterial small subunit ribosomal RNA
Source: RNAcentral